AGCGGUGCUGACGUGCAAAUCGCUCGUCAAAUUUGAGUAUAGGGGCGAAAGACUAAUCGAACCAUCUAGUAGCUGGUUUCCUCCGAAGUUUCUCUCAGGAUAGCAGGCCCAAAUUAUGUUGUUGUGUGUGGUAAAGCGAAUGAUUAGCAUACUCGGGGGCAUUAAGUCUUCGGAUGAUUCUCAAACUUUAAAUGCGCACGGAUAUUGCCGCUUAAUUGGGCGAUAUCGUUAAAAACUUGGGCUUUGUGGGCCAUUUUUGGUAAGCAGAACUGGCGAUACGGGAUGAACCGUAAGCGUGGUUAAGGCGUCAAAGUGUCCGCUUAAAGAUCCCAAAAAAGGUGUUGAUUCAUCGAGACAGCAGGACGGUGGCCAUGGAAGUCGGAAUCCGCUAAGGAGUGUGUAACAACUCACCUGCCGAAUGAAUUAGCCCUGAAAAUGGAUGGCGCUAAAGCGGGCCGCCGACACCACGUCGUUUAUGCAAAGAAAUACAUAAUUAAGCUUAAAUGAGUAGGAGGAACGUGGUGGUUGUACCGAAGCGUGCGUGCAAACGUGCGUGGAACGGCCACUAGUGCAGAUCUUGGUGUAAGUAGCAAAUAUUCAAGCGAGAACCUUGAAGGGCGAAGCGGGGAAGGGUUCCACGCGAACAUUGAUUGGGCGUGGGUGAGUCGUUCCUAAGCCGCGUGGCAAUAGCUAAUUACCGGCGAAAGGGAAGCAGGUUGACAUUCCUGCACACGGAUGUGGUUAGCGGUGACGCAUAUAUGUAAAUUGAGGAGGCGGUGAAGCUGGCGGUGGCUCUGGGCAGAGUUUUCUUUUCUGUUUAACUGACUUGAAUUCCGUCGUGUGGAAUCCGCUUGUCGGGAGAAACACACGGGUUUAGGAAUAGCGCCGGGACUUUUUCCGGGCGUCCAGAUCGCCAUCGUCGGACCUUGAAAAACUGCCUGCAGGCGCAAGCCUAUAAAUCUAGUGAUACGAUUUGAAAAUCCACGCCGUGACGUACCGAUUCCGAGCA
This 1009-nucleotide ribosomal RNA is filed under the name Hypoglossum sp. RNAcentral's name for it is "LSU rRNA". It matches the Rfam family "Eukaryotic large subunit ribosomal RNA", at positions 879 to 1861 of the family's 3401-position model. Lineage: Eukaryota; Rhodophyta; Florideophyceae; Ceramiales; Delesseriaceae. The record is from RNAcentral.